RNAcentral lists this ribosomal RNA (253 nucleotides) under uncultured prokaryote. RNAcentral's name for it is "partial 16S ribosomal RNA". It matches the Rfam family "Bacterial small subunit ribosomal RNA", at positions 524 to 776 of the family's 1533-position model. The record is from RNAcentral.
GACAGAGGGUGCGAACGUUGUUCGGAAUUACUGGGCGUAAAGCGCAUGUAGGCGGCCAAGCAGGUCGGAUGUGAAAUCCCUCGGCUCAACCAAGGAAGUGCAUUCGAAACCGCAUGGCUGGAGUCCCGGAGAGGAAGGUGGAAUUCUCGGUGUAGAGGUGAAAUUCGUAGAUAUCGAGAGGAACACCGGUGGCGAAAGCGGCCUUCUGGACGAGGACUGACGCUGAGAUGCGAAAGCGUGGGGAGCAAACAGG